AAGUCGUAACAAGGUUUCCGUAGGUGAACCUGCGGAAGGAUCAUUAAAGUGUUUCGGAGCCUGGCUCAGGCACCUCAACUCGAGGUGUCGGUGCCAGCGCCCCCACACGUGUUUACUCAACUUGGUUGCCUUGGUGAGCCUGCCCUUGUGGCUGCCGGGGAUGCCUCACGGCGUCCUGGGCUCGUGCUCACCAAUGGAACAUUUGAACUCUUAUGUGAAAAUAGUCAGUCUGAGCAUUAUGCAAAUUAAAUAAAACUUUCAACAACGGAUCUCUUGGUUCCG
Molecule: unclassified non-coding RNA, 282 nt
Filed under: fungal sp.
Lineage: Eukaryota; Fungi
Description: partial internal transcribed spacer region
Rfam family: Eukaryotic small subunit ribosomal RNA (bases 1-46)
Source: RNAcentral